ACCGGCGCAUCGGGGGUGGCCAUCCGCUGCGUCGUCGCCGCAGCGUCCUCGAAGCCCGGGUCGACGGCGCUCGGUCCGUCGGCGUCCGUAC
RNAcentral lists this transfer RNA (91 nucleotides) under Micromonospora gifhornensis. RNAcentral describes it as "tRNA-Asp". The record is from RNAcentral. Lineage: Bacteria; Bacillati; Actinomycetota; Actinomycetes; Micromonosporales; Micromonosporaceae.